AGCAGUAGCCGCGGGAAUACGAGGGGGGCAAGCGUUGUUCGGAAUUACUGGGCGUAAAGCGCACGUAGGCGGCUUUGUAAGUCAGAGGUGAAAGCCUGGAGCUCAACUCCAGAACUGCCUUUGAGACUGCAUCGCUCGAAUCCGGGAGAGGUGAGUGGAAUUCCGAGUGUAGAGGUGAAAUUCGUAGAUAUUCGGAAGAACACCAGUGGCGAAGGCGGCUCACUGGACCGGUAUUGACGCUGAGGUGCGAAAGCGUGGGGAGCAAACAGGAUUAGAUACCCCGGUAGUCCCUGUCUCUUAUAC
RNAcentral lists this ribosomal RNA (303 nucleotides) under uncultured bacterium. Its description in RNAcentral is "partial 16S ribosomal RNA". It matches the Rfam family "Bacterial small subunit ribosomal RNA", at positions 507 to 807 of the family's 1533-position model. The record is from RNAcentral.